Molecule: unclassified non-coding RNA, 263 nt
Filed under: Hevea brasiliensis (rubber tree)
Lineage: Eukaryota; Viridiplantae; Streptophyta; Magnoliopsida; Malpighiales; Euphorbiaceae
Source: RNAcentral
GGCCAAUUCAAUUACUUAAGAUACUUAGUAAACCAAGCCAACAAGUCCCCGUGGGCUUCAUCUGCAGAUUUGACAGCCUCUUCAUCUUCCACAUUGUACCUCACAGUCCACCCAUGAGAAACCUUUGGAAAGAUCUUUACAAACCAGUCGACCUCAGGCUUUGCAGACAAGAUUUCUUCAAACUGUUUCAAGAGUUCUGGAGGAGACAUUUGAUCGAUCUCCGCUCCUAGUACCGAAAUGUGAGCUUUGACCCCUUUGAUGUC